GGCCGGUUAGCUCAGUUAGUUAGAGUGUCGUGCUAAUAACGCUAAUAACGCGAAUGUCGCGGGUUCGAUCUCCGUACUGGCCA
This 83-nucleotide transfer RNA is filed under the name Ciona intestinalis (vase tunicate). It matches the Rfam family "tRNA". From Rfam's summary of the family: Transfer RNA (tRNA) molecules are approximately 80 nucleotides in length. Lineage: Eukaryota; Metazoa; Chordata; Ascidiacea; Phlebobranchia; Cionidae. The record is from Rfam by way of RNAcentral.